RNAcentral lists this ribosomal RNA (265 nucleotides) under uncultured bacterium. Its description in RNAcentral is "partial 16S ribosomal RNA". It matches the Rfam family "Bacterial small subunit ribosomal RNA", at positions 88 to 354 of the family's 1533-position model. The record is from RNAcentral.
CAUCUUAGUGGCGGACGGGUGAGUAACGCGUGGGUAACCUGCCUUACACUGGGGGAUAACACUUAGAAAUAGGUGCUAAUACCGCAUAACAGAGGGAGUCGCAUGACUUCGUCUUAAAAACUCCGGUGGUGUAAGAUGGACCCGCGUCUGAUUAGCUGGUUGGCGGGGUAGCGGCCCACCAAGGCGACGAUCAGUAGCCGGCCUGAGAGGGUGAACGGCCACAUUGGGACUGAGACACGGCCCAAACUCCUACGGGAGGCAGCAG